GUUCUGGUAGUUGAAAAUAUCAAUAACGGCUUUUCGAGCCGUAGUCCCUCGGGUAGUGGCCGAGCAGGAAAU
Molecule: transfer RNA, 72 nt
Filed under: Anas platyrhynchos (mallard)
Lineage: Eukaryota; Metazoa; Chordata; Aves; Anseriformes; Anatidae
Description: transfer RNA Glu
Source: RNAcentral